AGUAAAUACAUAAGCUUAAAAAAAGAAGAAAGAAAUAUAGUCUCAGUUAGAGAUAUCAAUUUACAUACUUGGAGUGUAUGGUGUUGGAAGCCAUGGAAAAGAGGAGACAAAAUAGCUCUCAAGUCCUUCCAGCUGUGAAGGACUCCUGAAUAUCUUAAGCCUGGUGAACAGACAUCAGAAUCCCAUGAUCUGCCCACAGGCCUCAUCAGGUCUGGACUAUGCUGCGUUCCUCCCUGUCCUACACAACUGUGAUAUGAUUACAACGGCUCCCUCAGGGGACCUACUCUGAGAACUCAUAGAAUCCCUUUUCUGCUGGGUGUCCCAGCAGAGAAGGGAAAUGACAGAGCAACUGAUUCGUCCCAUUUUAUGGAUGAGUAGACUAAACUGGGAGCACCGAGGAGCACCAAGGCAUCGUGUGGACAGAAAGAGAGAGACAAGCACCUCUGAUAAGAUCUUCAUGCCUCAAUCCACGCCCAGUCUCAGCUGGCCUGGAUCAUGGACACAUCCCCACGUGCCCGGCUUGCUCAGGAAGGCCUCAGAAUGCAAACCGAGGACCUUUCCCAUAUGGAUCCAGUUGUGUGACUACCGUGCCAUCACCUGGCCUCCAUGUAACUUCUCGGAAGUCAAAGGCAAAUACAUGGAAGAUAGGCAUUCAAAUGAUAGUGGAGAUGGCUGGUGGGGAGUUGAGAAAAAGAAUCCAAGGGGAUGUUCAUGCAGCUGUAUUACAAGAGCGAUGGCUGUGGAAACAGAAGAUCUAAAUCUCACCUCUGCUUGUGUCACUUACGGAUAUGUUAAC
Long non-coding RNA from Tupaia belangeri chinensis (Chinese tree shrew), 796 nucleotides. RefSeq lists it as uncharacterized. The transcript has 3 exons. The record is from RefSeq and is a predicted model, not a curated record. Lineage: Eukaryota; Metazoa; Chordata; Mammalia; Scandentia; Tupaiidae.